AACGCUAGCUACAGGCUUAACACAUGCAAGUCGAGGGGAAACGACAUCGAAAGCUUGCUUUUGAUGGGCGUCGACCGGCGCACGGGUGAGUAACACGUAUCCAACCUGCCGAUAACUCGGGGAUAGCCUUUCGAAAGAAAGAUUAAUACCCGAUAGCAUAGUAUUUCCGCAUGGUUUCACUAUUAAAGAAUUUCGGUUAUCGAUGGGGAUGCGUUCCAUUAGAUAGUUGGCGGGGUAACGGCCCACCUAGUCUUCGAUGGAUAGGGGUUCUGAGAGGAAGGUCCCCCACAUUGGAACUGAGACACGGUCCAAACUCCUACGGGAGGCAGCAGUGAGGAAUAUUGGUCAAUGGGCGAGAGCCUGAACCAGCCAAGUAGCGUGCAGGAUGACGGCCCUAUGGGUUGUAAACUGCUUUUAUAAGGGAAUAAAGUGAGUCUCGUGAGACUUUUUGCAUGUACCUUAUGAAUAAGGAUCGGCUAACUCCGUGCCAGCAGCCGCGGUAAUACGGAGGAUCCGGGCGUUAUCCGGAUUUAUUGGGUUUAAAGGGAGCGUAGGUUGACAUAUAAGUCAGCUGUGAAAGUUUACGGCUCAACCGUGAAAUUGCAGUUGAUACUGUAUGUCUUGAGUGUACAAGAGGUGGGCGGAAUUCGUGGUGUAGCGGUGAAAUGCUUAGAUAUCACGAAGAACUCCGAUUG
Molecule: ribosomal RNA, 695 nt
Filed under: uncultured bacterium
Lineage: Bacteria
Description: bacterial SSU rRNA
Rfam family: Bacterial small subunit ribosomal RNA
Source: RNAcentral